RNAcentral lists this ribosomal RNA (490 nucleotides) under uncultured bacterium. Its description in RNAcentral is "bacterial SSU rRNA". It matches the Rfam family "Bacterial small subunit ribosomal RNA", at positions 501 to 992 of the family's 1533-position model. The record is from RNAcentral.
CUACGUGCCAGCAGCCGCGGUAAUACGUAGGGUGCGAGCGUUAAUCGGAAUUACUGGGCGUAAAGCGAGCGCAGACGGUUACUUAAGCAGGAUGUGAAAUCCCCGGGCUCAACCUGGGAACUGCGUUCUGAACUGGGUGACUAGAGUGUGUCAGAGGGAGGUAGAAUUCCACGUGUAGCAGUGAAAUGCGUAGAGAUGUGGAGGAAUACCGAUGGCGAAGGCAGCCUCCUGGGAUAACACUGACGUUCAUGCUCGAAAGCGUGGGUAGCAAACAGGAUUAGAUACCCUGGUAGUCCACGCYGUAAACGAUGUCGAUUUGGGGGUUGAACUAUAAGUUUGGCGCCCGUAGCUAACGUGAUAAAUCGACCGCCUGGGGAGUACGGCCGCAAGGUUAAAACUCAAAUGAAUUGACGGGGGCCCGCACAAGCGGUGGAGCAUGUGGUUUAAUUCGAUGCAACGCGAAGAACCUUACCUACUCUUGACAUCCAGA